This 434-nucleotide ribosomal RNA is filed under the name uncultured bacterium. RNAcentral's name for it is "partial 16S ribosomal RNA". It matches the Rfam family "Bacterial small subunit ribosomal RNA", at positions 341 to 792 of the family's 1533-position model. The record is from RNAcentral.
ACGGGAGGCAGCAGUGGGGGAUAUUGCACAAUGGGGGAAACCCUGAUGCAGCGACGCCGCGUGAGUGAAGAAGUAAUUCGUUAUGUAAAGCUCUAUCAGCAGGGAAGAAAAUGACGGUACCUGACUAAGAAGCUCCGGCUAAAUACGUGCCAGCAGCCGCGGUAAUACGUAUGGAGCAAGCGUUAUCCGGAUUUACUGGGUGUAAAGGGAGCGUAGACGGCGAGGCAAGUCUGAUGUGAAAGCUAUGGGCUCAACCCAUAAACUGCAUUGGAAACUGUCUUGCUUGAGUGUCGGAGAGGUAAGCGGAAUUCCUAGUGUAGCGGUGAAAUGCGUAGAUAUUAGGAGGAACACCAGUGGCGAAGGCGGCUUACUGGACGAUAACUGACGUUGAGGCUCGAAAGCGUGGGGAGCAAGCAGGAUUAGAUACCCUGGUA